Molecule: ribosomal RNA, 2930 nt
Filed under: Shigella boydii
Lineage: Bacteria; Pseudomonadati; Pseudomonadota; Gammaproteobacteria; Enterobacterales; Enterobacteriaceae
Description: bacterial LSU rRNA
Rfam family: Bacterial large subunit ribosomal RNA
Source: RNAcentral
GGGUUGUGAGGUUAAGCGACUAAGCGUACACGGUGGAUGCCCUGGUAGUCAGAGGCGAUGAAGGACGUGCUAAUCUGCGAUAAGCGUCGGUAAGGUGAUAUGAACCGUUAUAACCGGCGAUUUCCGAAUGGGGAAACCCAGUGUGAUUCGUCACACUAUUAUUAACUGAAUCCAUAGGUUAAUGAGGCGAACCGGGGGAACUGAAACAUCUAAGUACCCCGAGGAAAAGAAAUCAACCGAGAUUCCCCCAGUAGCGGCGAGCGAACGGGGAGCAGCCCAGAGCCUGAAUCAGUGUGUGUGUUAGUGGAAGCGUCUGGAAAGGCGUGCGAUACAGGGUGACAGCCCCGUACACAAAAAUGCACAUAUUGUGAGCUCGAUGAGUAGGGCGGGACACGUGGUAUCCUGUCUGAAUAUGGGGGGACCAUCCUCCAAGGCUAAAUACUCCUGACUGACCGAUAGUGAACCAGUACCGUGAGGGAAAGGCGAAAAGAACCCCGGCGAGGGGAGUGAAAAAGAACCUGAAACCGUGUACGUACAAGCAGUGGGAGCACGCUUAGGCGUGUGACUGCGUACCUUUUGUAUAAUGGGUCAGCGACUUAUAUUCUGUAGCAAGGUUAACCGAAUAGGGGAGCCGAAGGGAAACCGAGUCUUAACUGGGCGUUAAGUUGCAGGGUAUAGACCCGAAACCCGGUGAUCUAGCCAUGGGCAGGUUGAAGGUUGGGUAACACUAACUGGAGGACCGAACCGACUAAUGUUGAAAAAUUAGCGGAUGACUUGUGGCUGGGGGUGAAAGGCCAAUCAAACCGGGAGAUAGCUGGUUCUCCCCGAAAGCUAUUUAGGUAGCGCCUCGUGAAUUCAUCUCCGGGGGUAGAGCACUGUUUCGGCAAGGGGGUCAUCCCGACUUACCAACCCGAUGCAAACUGCGAAUACCGGAGAAUGUUAUCACGGGAGACACACGGCGGGUGCUAACGUCCGUCGUGAAGAGGGAAACAACCCAGACCGCCAGCUAAGGUCCCAAAGUCAUGGUUAAGUGGGAAACGAUGUGGGAAGGCCCAGACAGCCAGGAUGUUGGCUUAGAAGCAGCCAUCAUUUAAAGAAAGCGUAAUAGCUCACUGGUCGAGUCGGCCUGCGCGGAAGAUGUAACGGGGCUAAACCAUGCACCGAAGCUGCGGCAGCGACACUAUGUGUUGUUGGGUAGGGGAGCGUUCUGUAAGCCUGUGAAGGUGUACUGUGAGGUAUGCUGGAGGUAUCAGAAGUGCGAAUGCUGACAUAAGUAACGAUAAAGCGGGUGAAAAGCCCGCUCGCCGGAAGACCAAGGGUUCCUGUCCAACGUUAAUCGGGGCAGGGUGAGUCGACCCCUAAGGCGAGGCCGAAAGGCGUAGUCGAUGGGAAACAGGUUAAUAUUCCUGUACUUGGUGUUACUGCGAAGGGGGGACGGAGAAGGCUAUGUUGGCCGGGCGACGGUUGUCCCGGUUUAAGCGUGUAGGCUGGUUUUCCAGGCAAAUCCGGAAAACUAAGGCUGAGGCGUGAUGACGAGGCACUACGGUGCUGAAGCAACAAAUGCCCUGCUUCCAGGAAAAGCCUCUAAGCAUCAGGUAACAUCAAAUCGUACCCCAAACCGACACAGGUGGUCAGGUAGAGAAUACCAAGGCGCUUGAGAGAACUCGGGUGAAGGAACUAGGCAAAAUGGUGCCGUAACUUCGGGAGAAGGCACGCUGAUAUGUAGGUGAAGUCCCUCGCGGAUGGAGCUGAAAUCAGUCGAAGAUACCAGCUGGCUGCAACUGUUUAUUAAAAACACAGCACUGUGCAAACACGAAAGUGGACGUAUACGGUGUGACGCCUGCCCGGUGCCGGAAGGUUAAUUGAUGGGGUCAGCGCAAGCGAAGCUCUUGAUCGAAGCCCCGGUAAACGGCGGCCGUAACUAUAACGGUCCUAAGGUAGCGAAAUUCCUUGUCGGGUAAGUUCCGACCUGCACGAAUGGCGUAAUGAUGGCCAGGCUGUCUCCACCCGAGACUCAGUGAAAUUGAACUCGCUGUGAAGAUGCAGUGUACCCGCGGCAAGACGGAAAGACCCCGUGAACCUUUACUAUAGCUUGACACUGAACAUUGAGCCUUGAUGUGUAGGAUAGGUGGGAGGCUUUGAAGUGUGGACGCCAGUCUGCAUGGAGCCGACCUUGAAAUACCACCCUUUAAUGUUUGAUGUUCUAACGUUGACCCGUAAUCCGGGUUGCGGACAGUGUCUGGUGGGUAGUUUGACUGGGGCGGUCUCCUCCUAAAGAGUAACGGAGGAGCACGAAGGUUGGCUAAUCCUGGUCGGACAUCAGGAGGUUAGUGCAAUGGCAUAAGCCAGCUUGACUGCGAGCGUGACGGCGCGAGCAGGUGCGAAAGCAGGUCAUAGUGAUCCGGUGGUUCUGAAUGGAAGGGCCAUCGCUCAACGGAUAAAAGGUACUCCGGGGAUAACAGGCUGAUACCGCCCAAGAGUUCAUAUCGACGGCGGUGUUUGGCACCUCGAUGUCGGCUCAUCACAUCCUGGGGCUGAAGUAGGUCCCAAGGGUAUGGCUGUUCGCCAUUUAAAGUGGUACGCGAGCUGGGUUUAGAACGUCGUGAGACAGUUCGGUCCCUAUCUGCCGUGGGCGCUGGAGAACUGAGGGGGGCUGCUCCUAGUACGAGAGGACCGGAGUGGACGCAUCACUGGUGUUCGGGUUGUCAUGCCAAUGGCACUGCCCGGUAGCUAAAUGCGGAAGAGAUAAGUGCUGAAAGCAUCUAAGCACGAAACUUGCCCCGAGAUGAGUUCUCCCUGACUCCUUGAGAGUCCUGAAGGAACGUUGAAGACGACGACGUUGAUAGGCCGGGUGUGUAAGCGCAGCGAUGCGUUGAGCUAACCGGUACUAAUGAACCGUGAGGCUUAACCUUACAACGCCGAAGGUGUUU